This is a long non-coding RNA of Loxodonta africana (African savanna elephant), 266 nucleotides long. RefSeq lists it as uncharacterized. The record is from RefSeq and is a predicted model, not a curated record. The transcript is spliced from 2 exons. Lineage: Eukaryota; Metazoa; Chordata; Mammalia; Proboscidea; Elephantidae.
CACGCCACGCAGAGGUGACGAGACGCAAGGCGUCCUCUAAAGCGACUUCCGCGGGCGCUAGGUCAAGGGCUGGGGGCGGUGCUGACCUUGAGAACGUGCGGGAGAGGCGCAGGCGCAGCACAGAUACCAACUGAAGCCAGAAGGACAUGGACGAAGAGCAGAGAAACCAGGAAGAGGCUUCUGUUCAUUUAGCACACCAAUAUAGGCGGUUUCCUUUUCGUUAAAAAAAAAAAAAAAAAAUUAGCAUCGGGUGGUAAGAAGCGAAA